Molecule: ribosomal RNA, 2009 nt
Filed under: Neisseria meningitidis
Lineage: Bacteria; Pseudomonadati; Pseudomonadota; Betaproteobacteria; Neisseriales; Neisseriaceae
Description: partial 23S ribosomal RNA
Rfam family: Bacterial large subunit ribosomal RNA
Source: RNAcentral
UAUUGCAACUUACCAACCCAUGGCAAACUCAGAAUACCAUCAAGUGGUUCCUCGGGAGACAGACAGCGGGUGCUAACGUCCGUUGUCAAGAGGGAAACAACCCAGACCGCCAGCUAAGGUCCCCAAUGAUAGAUUAAGUGGUAAACGAAGUGGGAAGGCCCAGACAGCCAGGAUGUUGGCUUAGAAGCAGCCAUCAUUUAAAGAAAGCGUAAUAGCUCACUGGUCGAGUCGUCCUGCGCGGAAGAUGUAACGGGGCUCAAAUCUAUAACCGAAGCUGCGGAUGCCGGUUUAUCGGCAUGGUAGGGGAGCGUUCUGUAGGCCGAUGAAGGUGCAUUGUAAAGUGUGCUGGAGGUAUCAGAAGUGCGAAUGUUGACAUGAGUAGCGAUAAAGCGGGUGAAAAGCCCGCUCGCCGAAAGCCCAAGGUUUCCUGCGCAACGUUCAUCGGCGUAGGGUGAGUCGGCCCCUAAGGCGAGGCAGAAAUGCGUAGUCGAUGGGAAACAGGUUAAUAUUCCUGUACUUGAUUCAAAUGCGAUGUGGGGACGGAGAAGGUUAGGUUGGCAAGCUGUUGGAAUAGCUUGUUUAAGCCGGUAGGUGGAAGACUUAGGCAAAUCCGGGUCUUCUUAACACCGAGAAGUGACGACGAGUGUCUACGGACACGAAGCAACCGAUACCACGCUUCCAGGAAAAGCCACUAAGCUUCAGUUUGAAUCGAACCGUACCGCAAACCGACACAGGUGGGCAGGAUGAGAAUUCUAAGGCGCUUGAGAGAACUCAGGAGAAGGAACUCGGCAAAUUGAUACCGUAACUUCGGGAGAAGGUAUGCCCUCUAAGGUUAAGGACUUGCUCCGUAAGCCCCGGAGGGUCGCAGAGAAUAGGUGGCUGCGACUGUUUAUUAAAAACACAGCACUCUGCUAACACGAAAGUGGACGUAUAGGGUGUGACGCCUGCCCGGUGCUGGAAGGUUAAUUGAAGAUGUGAGAGCAUCGGAUCGAAGCCCCAGUAAACGGCGGCCGUAACUAUAACGGUCCUAAGGUAGCGAAAUUCCUUGUCGGGUAAGUUCCGACCCGCACGAAUGGCGUAACGAUGGCCACACUGUCUCCUCCUGAGACUCAGCGAAGUUGAAGUGGUUGUGAAGAUGCAAUCUACCCGCUGCUAGACGGAAAGACCCCGUGAACCUUUACUGUAGCUUUGCAUUGGACUUUGAAGUCACUUGUGUAGGAUAGGUGGGAGGCUUAGAAGCAGAGACGCCAGUCUCUGCGGAGCCGUCCUUGAAAUACCACCCUGGUGUCUUUGAGGUUCUAACCCAGACCCGUCAUCCGGGUCGGGGACCGUGCAUGGUAGGCAGUUUGACUGGGGCGGUCUCCUCCCAAAGCGUAACGGAGGAGUUCGAAGGUUACCUAGGUCCGGUCGGAAAUCGGACUGAUAGUGCAAUGGCAAAAGGUAGCUUAACUGCGAGACCGACAAGUCGAGCAGGUGCGAAAGCAGGACAUAGUGAUCCGGUGGUUCUGUAUGGAAGGGCCAUCGCUCAACGGAUAAAAGGUACUCCGGGGAUAACAGGCUGAUUCCGCCCAAGAGUUCAUAUCGACGGCGGAGUUUGGCACCUCGAUGUCGGCUCAUCACAUCCUGGGGCUGUAGUCGGUCCCAAGGGUAUGGCUGUUCGCCAUUUAAAGUGGUACGUGAGCUGGGUUUAAAACGUCGUGAGACAGUUUGGUCCCUAUCUGCAGUGGGCGUUGGAAGUUUGACGGGGGCUGCUCCUAGUACGAGAGGACCGGAGUGGACGAACCUCUGGUGUACCGGUUGUAACGCCAGUUGCAUAGCCGGGUAGCUAAGUUCGGAAGAGAUAAGCGCUGAAAGCAUCUAAGCGCGAAACUCGCCUGAAGAUGAGACUUCCCUUGCGGUUUAACCGCACUAAAGAGUCGUUCGAGACCAGGACGUUGAUAGGUGGGGUGUGGAAGCGCGGUAACGCGUGAAGCUAACCCAUACUAAUUGCUCGUGAGGCUUGACUCUAU